Molecule: long non-coding RNA, 346 nt
Organism: Hermetia illucens (black soldier fly)
Lineage: Eukaryota; Metazoa; Arthropoda; Insecta; Diptera; Stratiomyidae
Exons: 3
Source: RefSeq, a predicted model, not a curated record
UCCUAAUAAAAUGUAUUAGUUUACGCUGACGAUGUUGACAUGAUAACUCGGUUACUAUUGUGUGUGAAGGAAGUGUUCUAAGAAUUGGAGUCAAUGCUAAGGAGAAAUGGAAACUUUAUGGGGAUAGUGAGCAUCUAUUUUACGGCAGUGACGAUUGCGGAACGGCUUGGCUAACGGCAAAAUGCUUCUUUGAUGCACAUCCAAUUCACUCAAUGCUUAUAUGAAAGAAAUGCUUACCUAUAAAUUGUACCACCGAAAUUGGUUAACAUCAUCGAACGCAAAAUCCUUAACGAUUCGAUUUGAACUUUAAUGUGUUUAUUCUGUAAAAAGAAAAAAUAAAAGUUAG